GUCUCCCAACCCAUGAUGAUGAGCUAUAAUUCUCCUUUCUGAGAGCGAACUGAGGACAGAACUGUGGCUUUGUUCACAAGCUCUAUCAUUGAUGAGCGUUCAUAUUGUUUUUGGCGAUGUUGAAGAAAGGAGUAUGAUCUGAGUGGU
The sequence is a small nucleolar RNA, 147 nucleotides long. Its record names the gene U3. It matches the Rfam family "Small nucleolar RNA U3". Rfam says of the family: Small nucleolar RNAs (snoRNAs) are involved in the processing and modification of rRNA in the nucleolus. The record is from Ensembl.